Molecule: unclassified non-coding RNA, 380 nt
Filed under: uncultured Micrococcaceae bacterium
Lineage: Bacteria; Bacillati; Actinomycetota; Actinomycetes; Micrococcales; Micrococcaceae
Description: contains 16S-23S intergenic spacer region
Source: RNAcentral
UCCGAGUUGACCCCGGCAGUCUCCCAUGAGUCCCCGGCAUAACCCGCUGGCAACAUGGAACGGGGGUUGCGCUCGUUGCGGGACUUAACCCAACAUCUCACGACACGAGCUGACGACAACCAUGCACCACCUGUGAACCGGCCCCAAAAGGGGAAGGACUGUCUCCAGCCCGGUCCGGCCCAUGUCAAGCCUUGGUAAGGUUCUUCGCGUUGCAUCGAAUUAAUCCGCAUGCUCCGCCGCUUGUGCGGGCCCCCGUCAAUUCCUUUGAGUUUUAGCCUUGCGGCCGUACUCCCCAGGCGGAGAACUUAAUGCGUUAGCGACGGCACGGGAGGAGUCGACACCUCCCACACCUAGUUCUCAUCGUUUACGGCGUGGACUAC